AAGUCGUAACAAGGUUUCCGUAGGUGAACCUGCGGAAGGAUCAUUAACACGCAUUGAAAGCAUCCAAUAUCAAAAAUCACAACCAAACGGUCAACUAUCUCCUCCCUAUUUCGCACACCGGAGACGGUACGAGUAGGCUAACAUGUAAAUAACAUAACAUUUGUUAUGAAACAAACACAAGAUAACCCCUUUUAAUUAUAUUAUUCAUUUAAUAUAAUAUAAAACAACUCUUCGAUUUGCUUCUCUUGAGAAGAAAAACGAACUAAACUAAAAUAUACAUUCGAUAUAUUUUUAUUUUACGAAAUAAUAUAUAUUUAUAAGAACAACUCUUAGCAAUGGAUAUCUUGGUUCUC
Molecule: unclassified non-coding RNA, 353 nt
Filed under: fungal sp.
Lineage: Eukaryota; Fungi
Description: partial internal transcribed spacer region
Rfam family: Eukaryotic small subunit ribosomal RNA (bases 1-46)
Source: RNAcentral